AUAACUAUUUAGUAGUUACCAUGUAAUUUUUCUGCAGAAAAAAAUGGAGCCCUAUUUUAUGAUCUUUAAGAGGAGGGCCAAGUGGAAGAAUUUUGGUAGAUGGUUUACUUUUCCUGUUUUUUAUUUUAUCAUGUACUAUUCUGUAAUGAAUAAAAGGAUCUAGAUUUGACCGGUCUGUUGUCAGCUUUUGGUAUCGUGUCUAGUCAAAAUUAGAAGACAAUUAGCAAAAUUUUAAAAAAAAAUGGAAAGUGCUAUUAACAACAUGAACACAAAGUCACGGAAACAUCGUUUGUUUUUUUAUUAAACCCCCAAUACAUACUAAGGUUAUUCAUAUAUUCUUGAACAGUAUUAACAAUCGUCACGAGCUCACUUGGCAAUAUAUGUCAAUCAAGAAGCCAUUGAGAAGGCAAUACAUGCAUCUAAGCUUGUGCAAACAGAUUGCACUUUGAAAUGCAACUGUUUGAAUGACAGGCACACAAGUAAAUGCUAAUAUAAAGACUCAGUAGAUACUAGACAGUUACCAUUUUUCACUAAUUUGUUAUAUGCUUUGUACAAAUAUACUCCUACAAAUUGCAUCCAGUUAUAUAAUAUGAGUGAUAAUUCAUUAAAAUUUAGGUUGUUUAUUUUGUAAGGUCAACAAAUAGUUAUUUUAUCCUGAAAAAAUUACUGGUUGGACUAACUCUGUUGAUAAAUUUUGACAUGCUUCUACAGGUGGAUGUGUUGGCCCUACGAGUGUCUGCAAUUGAAAUGGCAGAGGUAUAUCUACAUUUUUAUUUCUAAUUUUUUGGCUAGAAAUUAGCUCAUUUGAUCCACCUAAGAAAUAUUAGUUUGAUAUUUUUUCUUCAGGUAAUUCACUAUUAUCCCUCCCCAUGAUUUGGAGAAGUAAAAUGGACUUUGGUAAACCCUUUUUUCACUGAAAACUUGGCAAGUUCCCUUUCUCUCUCUCUAGCACAGAUUAGAUUAAGAUCAGAUAUUCAACAAUGGCGAAAGAACCAGCUCGAGUUCUUGUUACUGGUGCUGCAGGUAAAAUACAUACAUACGCACAUAAAUCGUUAAGGAUAUGCUCUAUGAUCAUUUUCAGAUCUGUUAUUAUAUUCACCGAUUAUAUUUAAAGGUUGAUCAAAUAUGUAGGAAUCGUCAAUUAAUAUAGUUUUUUUAUAUAUAUAUAUAUUCUGCCGUUUAUCCUUUUCUAUUUUAGAUUUAUGGAUGAACUGAAAUUUUAGUGAUCUAAUGAGUCUUAUUAUUUACUGGUUCGGUUAGAUUAGAUGUUAGAUUAGUCUUUUGAUCAAGUUUAGUUUUUGUUUAGAUUGAAUUAGAUUUGUAAGGGUUUUAAGUAAUCUUUUUUUAACAUUUUGUCUGCUUGCUAGUUGUAGUGAAUGAUAUGAGCAGGGUUGCUGUGUACAUCUAUAUCAUAUAUAUGUGAUAAACAUGGAUUCUUUCACUGUGGAGUCUAAAAGUUUAGUUACUUCAUAGUUUAUGUUAGGUACUUCCUUGUAAUUGUAUGCUAUUUUGAGACUUUUCAAUUCAAGUGUGCAACCAGUAAUAUGUAAGUUCGAGAAGAGCAAUAGAAUCAUGUAGAAUGCUGUGACAGUGACAUCGCAAGGCCAUGGAUGAUUUGUACAACCUCGCCCCUCUUCAUAUUGUCCAUUUGGGAUUCUCAGCGGCAGAGUGGUCCACUAUUAAACUGGCCACAAGCUUAUAGUAGUCUGUUUAAACCCAUCUUUUUUAGUUUUUUAUUUUGUUGAUAGGAAGAUUGGCCACAAGCAUUAUGUUAUUUUCAGUUUUUUGAAAGUUCAAUUGAGUCACCAGAAUUUGUACGUGUGCACUCAUCUAAGAUAAUGAAUUUAUAUCAUUGCAGUAUGGUGGCAGCUUUUGGUUCUGGAGCCAUGUUUUCAUUGGUGAGUGGAUUUGGUGGUCCUAAUCAGGCUGCGAAUGUAGUUACAUCUGCCCUGUAACUAUGCUUAUGAGUUCAUAUCAUGUGACACAAUCACCAUUCUUUAAGCACUCGUUUGUAGUCAUACGUUUGGAUGUAAUCAAAUUCACAAUUCAAUAUAGUAAUAAUUUAUAUUGAAAAGUGAAUUUGAGAUGUAUAUAUGGAUAGUUUGGUAUAUAUUUUGUGGAUGUAGUAAUUUGAAACUGUAAACGAAUGAUAUUAUUGAGAUGUAUUUUAAAUGGUUGAUACAUUUUGGCUUUAAAUUUAAAUGAGAAUGUAGACCUUUUUAGCUAUAUAUUAUGGCAUUAGCAGAUUGCAGGUGCACUGGUAAUAUAGGUAAAUCACAC
RNAcentral lists this long non-coding RNA (2280 nucleotides) under Panax ginseng (ginseng). Its description in RNAcentral is "long non-coding RNA (PGIN_LNC016582)". The record is from RNAcentral. Lineage: Eukaryota; Viridiplantae; Streptophyta; Magnoliopsida; Apiales; Araliaceae.